Molecule: long non-coding RNA, 3927 nt
Organism: Mesocricetus auratus (golden hamster)
Lineage: Eukaryota; Metazoa; Chordata; Mammalia; Rodentia; Cricetidae
Exons: 4
Source: RefSeq, a predicted model, not a curated record
CACCAAGACUGCAUCAAGGUGGCUGCCUGGAAUGGCUGCUGGUGCCUGUCACUGUGUGGGCAGUUUUGUGGAAGAGGUGGCACCUAAGCUGGGCUUUGAAGGCAAGGUCUUCCUCGAUACCGCCCAGCUUCGGAGCCGUCUUUUGAAUGACGCGAUGUGCUGAUAUGAACACCGAGGAGAGCGGACAGGACCAGGAGACUCACAAGCAGCUCGCAGGAGAAGCCACCGAAGAGACCAAGAGCAUUAUCCUGGAGAAAACCAGACCUGGAGCAGCUCCACUCAUGUCGCGAUGAGCACUGAGCAGACGCUAUGUGGUUGGAGAGGUCUUGCAGUCAACCCCAAGCUAAAAACAUCUGGAGACAGAUGUUGAGGACCGAUAAUGCUCUGCCGAUGAUGCUCUGUGCCUUGUCUCAGCCCUGGGUGCAAUCUUGCCCUCUGAGAGCCCAACUCUAAGUGACUCUUCUUCAUCUCAUUGAAGUGGAAUCCAGAGCCCUGGACAGAAGAGGAGGAGGGGCCUGCAGUCCCUGGAAACACUCUUACUCCUGUGGUCACUAGGUACCUAGGUCGUGUUCUCUCAAAUACCCUUUCCAGUAGGAGAGAUGAAGUUGACAUUGGGCUUGGUACAUUCCCGUUGUCAGUAUCAGAUGACAUCCCAGAGACGAGGAAACGUUCUGUCCCCCAGGCCUUCACCUGAAGACUGGUUCAAAGAUCAGUCUGCAUGUUUUGGAAGUUCCAUCCCUGGGACCCCAAGAAAGACUUCUCUGGAAAGGAAGUGGGGGUUGGGAAGGGAAAGAAUAGGAAACAGUCUUUUCUGGUUAAUCUUCGGAUUUUAUGCAAUGUCUGUGAGACAGACACACCCAUGGAGCAUGUGCUGGGUUCCCGGCUCUGUGGAAAUGCAGCAUCAAGAAAGUGACAUUUCUUGACGGGUGAGAGGUAGACAUAUACACUACAGCCCUUGAGCCCUGGAAGGUCUGAACCAUAGAGGGCAGCAGGGCCAGCCGAAGAAUCCAGGAUGAGGGAGUGCUUGCCAAGAUGAGAUAGCCUGAGCUCUUUUAGAGGUGGGCUUCUGAGAAGUGUCGGCUGUGGUGCCCAAGUGCAAAGAUGUAUAAGGUGAGGACAGAGGACAUGAGAGGGUCUAGGUCCCGAGUGUUUUGCCUAAGGGUUAGUCCGUUGGCAGAGAAGGCUGUUGAUGGGAGUAAAGCUGGAUCCUGGAAAGUGCUGGCAUGGGCACUGGGGCUCAGGAUGGAAGUCCUGGAGGCUUUAAAGCAGGAACGAGUCAGGGGUACCAGCCACGUUCUGACGAAAUGUCAGUCCCCAGGACCUCUACCUCUUGCUGUCAUUUCAUGUCUCCUCUUUCUCGAGGAGUUGGACUAGCCUUCUCCUGUCAGAACAGCCUUGUCCUCUCCACACGUGGAGGAGGAAGUCCUGGCUUGGCCCGAGAGAGCCUCUAGCCGUUGGCUCUCCUCCACUCCCAGGCUGGGAGCAGCUGAAUCCCAGGCUAGGGCCAAGGCUGGAGUUGGCUGUUGUGUUCUCUGUUGGGGAAAGAAUCCACUUCUCCAUAGCCAUAGAGCAGAAAGUUCAACCUGGCAUCUUGGCCCCGGCCCUCCUGCUUGGUUGUGACUUUCUUCCUUCAUUCUCCUCCCUGCCUGUCUCUCCUCUGUCUUCCUCCUGGGCAUCAGCUAUCAAUGUCCUGUUUCUCAUCUCUCUUUCUCUUCCUCAUUCUUCCUUCUCUCUCUCUCAGUCUCUGUCUCUCUGUGUGUGCACAUGCUCGUGCGUGCAUGUGCAGGGAUAAUAUGUAUGUGGAUUCCACAGGUCAACUUUGGAUGCUGUUUCUCAGGAACCAUUCUUUUUCUUUUUUUUUUUUAAAGGCAGAAUUGUCCAUUAGCCUGGAGCUAGGUUAGCUGCCUGGACAACCAGCCCCAGGGAUCUGUCUGUCUCUGCCUUCCCAUAGCUGAGAUUACAAGGGUGCAUCACCAUGUCUAGCUUUUUUUUUUAAAUGGGUUCUGGGGAUCAAACUGAGGGCCCCAUCUCACACGGCAAACACUUUGCCUUCUGGACCAUCUCUGCAUCCCUCCACCCGCCUUUUAAACCUGACAACAUAGGUCCUUCUCUCCUCCCCCUGCCUCUGCCGGGUCCCACCGCUCCCAGGCCAUUUUAGAGGUGGGACUUUGAGAUCCGACUGACCCUUCUUACUGUGUAACCUCAAGCAAGCAGCUAAAUGUCCCCAGGUAUCUUGUUCUUCGUCUAGGAAAGAUGGGUGACCACAGAGACCUCACUGCACGGGAGCUGGGGUCGCUUAGCACUAUGCCCCAUCAGCGUGUAGGACUGAGCUGUCCUUGUUCUGAGCUGUCCUUCCUUUCACCAGAGCUAGGUGCCGAGUGUUUUUUGAGAAGAGGGUCUCUGGCACUUUUGAGGAGGCCAAGAGCUUCGGCUAGGAAGUGGUGGGAAGCUUAGUGGUGCGAUGCUCCUUGUGGGGCCUCCUUGGAUGCCGCUGGCUUUUCAUAUUGCUUCUGUGUCUCCCUUCCAGAAUAACAAGGGCAUAAAUCAGGAUCUGUCAGUACUCAUUUCUGUCCUCAGCUGGACAGCUGUCCUGCCCCGGCCAGGCUUCAUCCCUGUCUACAGAAGACAGGGUCCAUAAAAGCUGAGGGGGAUGGUGAACUGGAAUGAUGGAAGCCACAGAGCUGCGUGAGAAAGGGCCAGCUGGUUACGCUACAGUUAAGAAAAAUGCCACCCGUGUGAGAAUAGACUUAAGUUACCAGGGCCCUAACCCGAGGUGGCUGGCUCAGGGUGAGGAGCCUAGCAGAUGAAGGCUCAAUGAAAGAAAUGAGUGAAUAAAUGAAGAAAACUACAACUCUCUUGGUUGUUCCCAGUGACCAUCUCUCCCUUGCGUGUCAAAGGCCUUCUGGUACCCUGUGCUGAGUCAGGAGACUCGGCUCAUGUUGGCCUGGAACUCAUAUGUGGUCAAGGAGGAUCUUGAGUUUGGAUCCUCCAGCCUCUGUCACCCAAGUGCUGGGAGUACAGUGAUGUGCCACCACACCUGAUAUUUAUGGUGCAGGUUUGAAUCUAGGGUCUCACGCAUGCCAGGCAAGCACUGUACCGACUGAGUCACAUUCCUACCCCCCACUCCCUGUCUGAGUUUUGCCUGGCCUUUGUAGUUGCCUGGGCUGUUACAGGUUCCCUUUUCAUCCUCACUGGAACCUUCUGAGAGGAGAGAUGCUGGGGCUGAAAGAAUGUUCCAAUCCUGCCUCAGUUCGGCCCCAGAGUCAGCUGGAGGGAGAUGUCCUCAGCACGCAGUCAGCAAAUUGGCCAUCCUUAGGAAAGGUCAGCUGAAUCAGCCCCUCCCCCAAGUCCCCUCCAGGAAAUGUGCUUGCUAUUUUUAGAAGCCUUUCAAGCUCCUGAGCUCAGCAGGACACACUCUGAACCCUUGCCCAUUCAACCCCAGAUCAGCCCAGGCCAGGCCAGGCCAGCCCCUGCCCAGUUCAGCCCUGACACACUUUCUCACCUUUCAGGCAAGUUAGCAGCUGCUAGAGAGGAGAUGCUCAAUCCAGAGAGGCCAGGUGGGCAAAACCUGGAGUCCUCUAGACAGAACGAUAUGACCUGAGAGCUACUUAUCACCUGGACCUGAGAAAGCCCCGCCCACGUGUUAUUCCCAGCUGUGCAGCGGAUAAGUCAUACCUGGAGAUCCACUUAGAAGAGAAGCAGGAUAAAUAGAAAUUCAAUCAGCAGUCAAAAGUGCUGUACUCUGCUAAAUUCUGGGGAAAUUCUUGCAAGGCCUGGGAGAGGUUGUGGUGGAGAAUUUUGUGUUCCUUGGAAAGAGACACUUAGAGAGAUGAUGUCAUAGAAAUCAGUCUCGUAAUAAGGCUGCUUUUUUUUAAAGGUGGCUUUCCAUUUGAGGAGGGAGGGACUGGGAGGGCUUGGGACACGACG